This 75-nucleotide transfer RNA is filed under the name Podarcis lilfordi (Lilford's wall lizard). Its description in RNAcentral is "tRNA.Ala". The stretch from base 11 to 68 matches the Rfam family "tRNA", at positions 8 to 63 of the family's 71-position model. From Rfam's summary of the family: Transfer RNA (tRNA) molecules are approximately 80 nucleotides in length. Their secondary structure includes four short double-helical elements and three loops (D, anti-codon, and T loops). The record is from RNAcentral. Lineage: Eukaryota; Metazoa; Chordata; Lepidosauria; Squamata; Lacertidae.
GGAAGUGCCAUAGCUCAGUGGUAGAGUAUCUGCUUUGCAUGCAGAAAGUCUCAGGUUCAAUCUCCAGCAUCUCCA